CCUACGGGUGGCAGCAGUGGGGAAUAUUGGACAAUGGGGGAAACCCUGAUCCAGCGAAGCCGCGUGAGUGAAGAAGUAUCUCGGUACGUAAAGCUCUAUCAGCAGGGAAGAAAAUGACGGUACCUGACUACGAAGCCCCGGCUAACUACGUGCCAGCAGCCGCAGUAAUACGUAGGGGGCAAGCGUUAUCCGGAUUUACUGGGUGUAAAGGGGGCGUAGACGGCAGUGCAAGUCUGGAGUGAAAUGCCGGGGCCCAACCCCGGAACUGCUCUUGAAACUGGGAGGCUGGAGUGCAGGAGAGGUAGGCGGAAUUCCUGGUGUAGCGGUGAAAUGCGUAGAUAUCAGGAGGAACACCGAUGGCGAAGGCGGCUUACUGGACUGUAACUGACGUUGAGGCUCGAAAGCGUGGGGAGCAAACAGGAUUAGAUACCCUUGUAGUC
Molecule: ribosomal RNA, 440 nt
Filed under: uncultured bacterium
Lineage: Bacteria
Description: partial 16S ribosomal RNA
Rfam family: Bacterial small subunit ribosomal RNA
Source: RNAcentral